AAAAAAAUAUAUAUCUUACCUCUCAUGACAGCAACUCCCAGCAACAUUCACUUAACCUCUGCAAAUUCAACCCUACGUAAAUUGUUCCAUUAAUCAGCUGUAAAAUGUGACUGGCAUGACACAUAUAUUAAGUACAGAAAAACAAAAUAAUCCAGUGGGUGAACAAACAUCAAAAAAUGAGCACGGUAGAGAGAAGCCAACCCAAGGAGGAAGCUUGUAGCUUGUUCCCAUUCCCAGAAUGAGGGACACAAGGUCUUGUGCUUUGGUCUCAUCCCAUUGUUAGAUGCAAGAGGAAAGGCCCAAUGGGGCUGAGGUAGGAGGAACCUAACAAGGUUCCAGAGGUGAUGUCAGCCCCAAUAGCCACGGGGUGAAGUGGUAAGGAUGGCCUGUCUUCCUCCUCUUCUAAUACGGCCUCCAAACCCCUCUUCCCUCCAGAGAAGUCUGUCUCUGUCGGCCUAGUUCUCGCCGUAGUGGUGAUAUAGAAUCCAGAAAACGUGUAGCAGGAACAGGGUGAGAGAGGCGACAGGAAAGUAGACGCCAUCCGCUUGCUGCUCGGCUCUCGGCGCCUUGUUUCCACGUGGCGCAAGGGACAGAGGGCCCGUGCAGGGCAGAAAGGGAGCUAAACGAGGAGCUGGCGGGUUACGGAGGGUGAGGAGGAGGAGAGAAACUGAAAAGGCACAAGGGUUGGGUCCAGGAGAUUCUUCAAGAUGAGCAGAAUCAUUGAAAUGUGGAUCCGAAUGACUGAGGAUUUCAAUCACCGGCAAAUUAUAGAACUGCAAUUCCUAAACCAGAAGUAGCCGUAAACUGGAGUCAUUCAAAAUAUAGACAGUGAUGAGAAGAGAAUCUUGUGAAACAGCCUAUGGAAACGCCGGGAGAAAAGUUUCCCAUUCCAACAGGACAGUCAGUGCUAUUUCUGUGACUGUGCCUGGAAGCUACUCCAAAAGUUCUGGCACUUACGCAAGGCAAAGCAUUUAAUAACCUGCUUCUGAGCAGCUGUCAAUUAACAACGUAAGGAACAACACACUACAUACAAUGAACUUUCUGUUUAACUCAGAUCAAAGGCUUAUUUAUACCCAUUUCUGUAUUUCCCAGCCUACUUCAAAGAAAUCAUACGUGCAUCAAGGGCUUUAGACAAGCCAGGUGGGAUGUCGGCCUUGCCCGCCGCACAGUCAAUUUGAGGAAAGCGAGAAGGGAAGGAGGAGCAGAGAAAAUGGUAAGUUUAACGGUUUUCAGCUUGUGAAAAUAUUGGCUAACUGGUGAUUUAUCUUCAUGUUUCUCUCUCCAGGAGGGGGAGAAAGGCCAGCACCAAAAUCCAUUUCAGCACUUUUCUCGUGUGAGUCAUUCAACCAACCAACCCUUCAGCACUUCGCCCUCAGAAAACGUGUUGAGUUGUGGCUUAUGGGAAGGAAAGCUUCCCUCGGCGGGGAUGCCGAGAGGAAGAGGAACGUGGCUGACUAGGGCAGUGUGGUCUCCGGCAGAGCUAGUUGUAGAGGGGUAUUGCUCUGAAGAUGUGUUUUAUCAGUCAGGCAGGUUUGUGCCACAGAAAUUUGAGUUUAUAUAUGUCAUACCACCAUUAAUAGGUAGCAAUUUAUAUUUACCAAGUGCAAAUAAUCCAUUGAGGUUUAAAACUUAAACAGUGAACAUCUAGUCAAUUUAAUCUAAACAAUCUAAGUCUAAUGUUAGUAGAGGAGCCCAGAAUAGAUGGGAUACUGAAGUGUAUUUUUAUUUUAACAAAAGCCAACUGGAAAGGCAAAAAUUCAUACUGUGAGUAAUCCAGCAUCUCUACAUGGCAACGGUGAGAGCUGAAAUGACUUUGAAGCACUCCGUUCCUUUUAAAGCGUCCCUUCUGCUACUAACUGUCCCACAUUACUAAAAAAUAACCAACCCCUGUUGAAAUGUUCAACUGAACUGCAGCCGUGACAGAGCAUUUUUUAACGGCAUUUCCCUUACCUGUGUGGGAUUCAGCUCCACAGAUGCUAGAGACGACUUAGAACUUUUCAGUUAUUUAGAUGUGUACGUUAAGAUUUCCAACUACUUCAUCCUGAGAGUCCACAUCUUCUAGAAGGGAAAACAUCUAAAAUGGAUAUAAAUUAGUAAACAAUAUGACUAAAUGUUUAGGCAGAGAUUAAAAACAACACUAAGCUUUACAUUCCAUGUACUGAAGGUAUGAAAAGCCCACCUCGGAAUACCUUCCAUGUACUGAAGGUAUUCCGAGUGUCAAAAUAUCUGAUAAAAUAAAUUACAGCCACUAGCAGAUAGUCAUCAUGCUGCUAAGCAUUAGUUCAGAAAUUAGAAAGACAAACAUGGUAGACAAGGUUUGCACAUUGACAAAGUGGCGACGACGGAAAGCAGUAAUAAUCACCUGGACCAUAUUCCUGAAUUCUUAUUUGUUUGAUAAAAGGUUAGAAGAGCAGACAUCUUGCCUGGGUGAAUUCUAUUUUAUUCACUCUUCAAAUAAAAGUCUUUCGAGCCCAACAAUAUGUCAUGGGAUUGUACAGAUUGGCAUUUGAAGAUAUCAAAAGGAUGCCUGACACCUAGAGAGACACGGAGACACGUGACUUCACUGUCAGUUGCUGGCUUUUCUGUUCCUGUUUCCAUGACAUUACAUAGGCGGGGGGGGGGGGAAGGGGGAGUUAUGGGUUGUGUUAGUUCAUUACUUCAAAUAAGAUGCUUGAACCCUUUACCUUCUUUGCACCCAUCUGAUACUGGUUUCCCUGGUAACGGAAUCAGGGAUGCCA
This is a long non-coding RNA of Orcinus orca (killer whale), 2738 nucleotides long. RefSeq lists it as uncharacterized. The record is from RefSeq and is a predicted model, not a curated record. Lineage: Eukaryota; Metazoa; Chordata; Mammalia; Artiodactyla; Delphinidae. The transcript is spliced from 2 exons.